Molecule: ribosomal RNA, 253 nt
Filed under: uncultured bacterium
Lineage: Bacteria
Description: partial 16S ribosomal RNA
Rfam family: Bacterial small subunit ribosomal RNA
Source: RNAcentral
UACAGGGGGGGCAAGCGUUGUUCGGAAUUACUGGGCGUAAAGGGUCUGUAGGUGGCCAACUAAGUCAGACGUGAAAUCCCUCAGCUUAACUGGGGAACUGCGUCUGAUACUGGAUGGCUUGAGUGCAGGAGAGGAAUGCGGAAUUCCAGGUGUAGCGGUGAAAUGCGUAGAUAUCUGGAGGAACACCGGUGGCGAAGGCGGCAUUCUGGACUGUAACUGACACUGAGACGCGAAAGCGUGGGGAGCAAACAGG